RNAcentral lists this ribosomal RNA (1372 nucleotides) under Actinomyces viscosus. RNAcentral's name for it is "bacterial SSU rRNA". It matches the Rfam family "Bacterial small subunit ribosomal RNA", at positions 97 to 1466 of the family's 1533-position model. The record is from RNAcentral. Lineage: Bacteria; Bacillati; Actinomycetota; Actinomycetes; Actinomycetales; Actinomycetaceae.
GGCGAACGGGUGAGUAACACGUGAGUAACCUGCCCCCUUCUUCUGGAUAACCGCAUGAAAGUGUGGCUAAUACGGGAUAUUCUGGGUCUGUCGCAUGACGGGCCCGGGAAAGAUAUUGUUUCGGUGGGGGAUGGGCUCGCGGCCUAUCAGCUUGUUGGUGGGGUGAUGGCCUACCAAGGCGGUGACGGGUAGCCGGCCUGAGAGGGUGGACGGUCACACUGGGACUGAGACACGGCCCAGACUCCUACGGGAGGCAGCAGUGGGGAAUAUUGCACAAUGGGCGCAAGCCUGAUGCAGCGACGCCGCGUGAGGGAUGGAGGCCUUCGGGUUGUAAACCUCUUUCGCCAGUGAAGCAGGCCUGCUCCUUGUGGGUGGGUUGACGGUAGCUGGAUAAGAAGCGCCGGCUAACUACGUGCCAGCAGCCGCGGUAAUACGUAGGGCGCGAGCGUGUCCGGAAUUAUUGGGCGUAAAGAGCUCGUAGGCGGCUGGUCGCGUCUGUCGUGAAAUCCUCUGGCUUAACUGGGGGCUUGCGGUGGGUACGGGCCGGCUUGAGUGCGGUAGGGGAGACUGGAACUCCUGGUGUAGCGGUGGAAUGCGCAGAUAUCAGGAAGAACACCGGUGGCGAAGGCGGGUCUCUGGGCCGUUACUGACGCUGAGGAGCGAAAGCGUGGGGAGCGAACAGGAUUAGAUACCCUGGUAGUCCACGCCGUAAACGUUGGGCACUAGGUGUGGGGGGCCUUUUCCGGGUCUUCCGCGCCGUAGCUAACGCAUUAAGUGCCCCGCCUGGGGAGUACGGCCGCAAGGCUAAAACUCAAAGGAAUUGACGGGGGCCCGCACAAGCGGCGGAGCAUGCGGAUUAAUUCGAUGCAACGCGAAGAACCUUACCAAGGCUUGACAUGUGCCGGUCGGCUCCGGAGACGGGGCUUCCUCCUUGUGGGGCCGGUUCACAGGUGGUGCAUGGUUGUCGUCAGCUCGUGUCGUGAGAUGUUGGGUUAAGUCCCGCAACGAGCGCAACCCUUGUCCCGUGUUGCCAGCACGUUGUGGUGGGGACUCGCGGGAGACUGCCGGGGUCAACUCGGAGGAAGGUGGGGAUGACGUCAAAUCAUCAUGCCCCUUAUGUUUUGGGCUUCACGCAUGCUACAAUGGCCGGUACAGAGGGCUGCGAUACCGUGAGGUGGAGCGAAUCCCUUAAAGCCGGUCUCAGUUCGGAUCGGUGUCUGCAACUCGACACCGUGAAGUUGGAGUCGCUAGUAAUCGCAGAUCAGCAACGCUGCGGUGAAUACGUUCUCGGGCCUUGUACACACCGCCCGUCACGUCAUGAAAGUCGGCAACACCCGAAGCCCGUGGCCCUACGGGAGCGGUCGAAGGUGGG